GACGAACGCUGGCGGCGUGCUUAACACAUGCAAGUCGAACGGAAAGGCCCUGCUUUUGUGGGGUGCUCGAGUGGCGAACGGGUGAGUAACACGUGAGUAACCUGCCCUUGACUUUGGGAUAACUUCAGGAAACUGGGGCUAAUACCGGAUAGGAGCUCCUGCUGCAUGGUGGGGGUUGGAAAGUUUCGGCGGUUGGGGAUGGACUCGCGGCUUAUCAGCUUGUUGGUGGGGUAGUGGCUUACCAAGGCUUUGACGGGUAGCCGGCCUGAGAGGGUGACCGGCCACAUUGGGACUGAGAGACGGCCCAGACUCCUACGGGAGGCAGCAGUGGGGAAUAUUGCACAAGGGGUGGAAGCCUGAUGCAGCAACGCCGUGUGCGGGAUGACGGCCUUCGGGUUGUAAACCGCUUUCGCUCAUGACGAAGCUUUGUGUGACGGUAGUGGGUAAAGAAGCACCGGCUAACUACGUG
This 469-nucleotide ribosomal RNA is filed under the name uncultured bacterium. Its description in RNAcentral is "partial 16S ribosomal RNA". It matches the Rfam family "Bacterial small subunit ribosomal RNA", at positions 28 to 507 of the family's 1533-position model. The record is from RNAcentral.